This 86-nucleotide small nucleolar RNA is filed under the name Carlito syrichta (Philippine tarsier). Its description in RNAcentral is "Small nucleolar RNA R38 (ENSTSYG00000026067.1)". It matches the Rfam family "Small nucleolar RNA R38". From Rfam's summary of the family: snoR38 is a C/D box small nucleolar RNA conserved across yeast, human, Arabidopsis and rice. It is encoded in the intron of elongation factor-1 gamma in both pombe and cerevisiae. snoR38 guides the methylation of 2'-O-ribose sites in 28S rRNA. Lineage: Eukaryota; Metazoa; Chordata; Mammalia; Primates; Tarsiidae. The record is from Rfam by way of RNAcentral.
CUGAGUUUGUGAUGAUGUCAAGUUAUCCCUGUCUGAAGGCAAAAAGAAGGGCCUUUCUGUGUGGAACGUGGAUGUCUGAAACUCGG